GAGAAGUAUGCAUUUUGGUAUUGCACUCGUCCUGUAAAGACGAUGGAUUUAUCCAUUUUGGGUUCGAAUCCCAAACUUCUCA
This is a non-coding RNA of Smittium mucronatum, 82 nucleotides long. The record is from Rfam. Lineage: Eukaryota; Fungi; Kickxellomycota; Harpellomycetes; Harpellales; Legeriomycetaceae.